GGGUCAGUAGGUUGGUCGUGCCACCGGUACGUACUGGUCUCACUGAUUCCUCCUUCCUGAAGAACCGUAGUGCCAUUAAUUUGGUGUUGCGGGGAAACAGGACUGUUACUUUGAAAAAAUUAGAGUGUUUAAAGCAGGCUAACGCUUGAAUACAUUAGCAUGGAAUAAUGAAAUAGGACGAUCGAUCCUAUUUUGUUGGUUUCUAGGAUUGACGUA
RNAcentral lists this ribosomal RNA (216 nucleotides) under Glomeromycotina sp. RNAcentral describes it as "partial small subunit ribosomal RNA". The stretch from base 40 to 216 matches the Rfam family "Eukaryotic small subunit ribosomal RNA", at positions 686 to 864 of the family's 1831-position model. Lineage: Eukaryota; Fungi; Glomeromycota. The record is from RNAcentral.